Molecule: ribosomal RNA, 406 nt
Filed under: uncultured bacterium
Lineage: Bacteria
Description: partial 16S ribosomal RNA
Rfam family: Bacterial small subunit ribosomal RNA
Source: RNAcentral
AUUGAACGCUGGCGGCAGGCCUAACACAUGCAAGUCGAGCGAGCGGCGGACGGGUGAGGCAUGUCUGGGAAACUGCCUGAUGGAGGGGGAUAACUACUGGAAACGGUAGCAAAUACCGCAUACCAUCCGGUGUGGCCAGGUGGGAUUAGCUAGUGGGUGGGGUAACGGCUCACCAAGGCGACGAUCCCUAGCUGGUCUGAGAGGAUGAUCAGCCACACUGGAACGGAGACACGGUCCAGACUCCUACGGGAGGCAGCAGUGGGGAAUAUUGGACAAUGGGCGCAAGCCUGAUGCAGCCAUGCCGCGUGUGUGAAGAAGGCCUUCGGGUUGUAAAGCACUUUCAGCUGGGAGGCGUUACCCGCAGAAUAAGCACCGGCUAACUCCGUGCCAGCAGCCGCGGUAAUUC